Molecule: transfer RNA, 73 nt
Filed under: Pangasianodon hypophthalmus (striped catfish)
Lineage: Eukaryota; Metazoa; Chordata; Actinopteri; Siluriformes; Pangasiidae
Rfam family: tRNA
About the family: Transfer RNA (tRNA) molecules are approximately 80 nucleotides in length. Their secondary structure includes four short double-helical elements and three loops (D, anti-codon, and T loops).
Source: Rfam by way of RNAcentral
GUCUCUGUGGCGCAAUAGGCUAGCUGUUCGGCUGUUAACCGAAAGGUUGGUGGUUCGAGCCCACCCAGGGACG